CACGUAGGGCGCAAGCGUUGUCCGGAAUUAUUGGGCGUAAAGAGCUCGUAGGUGGUCUGUUGCGUCCGCUGUGAAAACUCGGGGCUUAGCCCCGAGCCUGCAGUGGAUACGGGCAGACUAGAGGUAGGUAGGGGAGAAUGGAAUUCCUGGUGUAGGCGGUGAAAUGCGCAGAUAUCAGGAGGAACACCGGUGGCGAAGGCGGUCUCUGGGCCUUACCUGACACUGAGGAGCGAAAGCGUGGGGAGCGAACAGG
Molecule: ribosomal RNA, 253 nt
Filed under: uncultured bacterium
Lineage: Bacteria
Description: partial 16S ribosomal RNA
Rfam family: Bacterial small subunit ribosomal RNA
Source: RNAcentral